UCAACGGGUGAGUAAACCUGUAAGGCGCAAGGAAGCUGAUUGGCGGGAUCCCCUUGUGGGUUGCACCCUCGACCGACCCUGAUCUUUUGUGAAGGGUUCGAGUGAGAGCAUACCUGUCGGGACCCGAAACAUGAUGAACUAUGCCUGAGCGGGGCGAAGGCAGAGGAAACUCUGGUGGAGGCCCGCAGUGAUACUAACGUGCAAAUCGUUUGUCUGACUUAGGUAUACGGGCGAAAGACUAAUCGAACCGUCUAGUAGCUGGUUCCCUCCGAAGUUUCCCUCAGGAUAGUUGGAGCCUAUGGGCGAGUUAUAUCGGGUAAAGCCAAUGAUUAGAGGCAUCGGGGGCGCAACGCCCUCGACCUAUUCUCAAACUUUAAAUAGGUAGGGCGGUGUGGCUGCUUUGUUGAGGCACUCCAUGGAAUCGACAGCUCUAAGUGGGCCAUUUUUGGUAAGCAGAACUGGCGAUGCGGGAUGAACCGAAAGUUGGGUUACGGUGCCCAACUACGCGGUAACCUAGACCCCACAAAGGGUGUUGGUCGAUUAAGACAGCAGGACGGUGGUCAUGGAAGUCGAAAUCCACUAAGGAGUGUGUAACAACUCACCUGUCGAAUCAACUAGCCCCGAAAAUGGAUGCUGCUAAAGCGUGCGACCUAUACCCGGCCGUUGAGGCAAGAGCCAAGCCUCAAUGAGUAGGAGGGCGCGGAGGUUCCUAUAAAACCCGGGGUGUGAGCCCGGGCGGAGUGUUCGUCGGUGCAGAU
Non-coding RNA from Cajanus cajan (pigeon pea), 758 nucleotides. The record is from Rfam. Lineage: Eukaryota; Viridiplantae; Streptophyta; Magnoliopsida; Fabales; Fabaceae.